UGGCUCAGGACGAACGCUGGCGGCGUGCCUAAUACAUGCAAGUCGAACGCUUCUUUUUCCACCGGAGCUUGCUCCACCGGAAAAAGAGGAGUGGCGAACGGGUGAGUAACACGUGGGUAACCUGCCCAUCAGAAGGGGAUAACACUUGGAAACAGGUGCUAAUACCGUAUAACAAUCGAAACCGCAUGGUUUUGAUUUGAAAGGCGCUUUCGGGUGUCGCUGAUGGAUGGACCCGCGGUGCAUUAGCUAGUUGGUGAGGUAACGGCUCACCAAGGCCACGAUGCAUAGCCGACCUGAGAGGGUGAUCGGCCACAUUGGGACUGAGACACGGCCCAAACUCCUACGGGAGGCAGCAGUAGGGAAUCUUCGGCAAUGGACGAAAGUCUGACCGAGCAACGCCGCGUGAGUGAAGAAGGUUUUCGGAUCGUAAAACUCUGUUGUUAGAGAAGAACAAGGAUGAGAGUAACUGUUCAUCCCUUGACGGUAUCUAACCAGAAAGCCACGGCUAACUACGUGCCAGCAGCCGCGGUAAUACGUAGGUGGCAAGCGUUGUCCGGAUUUAUUGGGCGUAAAGCGAGCGCAGGCGGUUUCUUAAGUCUGAUGUGAAAGCCCCCGGCUCAACCGGGGAGGGUCAUUGGAAACUGGGAGACUUGAGUGCAGAAGAGGAGAGUGGAAUUCCAUGUGUAGCGGUGAAAUGCGUAGAUAUAUGGAGGAACCCAGUGGCGAAGGCGGCUCUCUGGUCUGUAACUGACGCUGAGGCUCGAAAGCGUGGGGAGCAAACAGGAUUAGAUACCCUGGUAGUCCACGCCGUAAACGAUGAGUGCUAAGUGUUGGAGGGUUUCCGCCCUUCAGUGCUGCAGCUAACGCAUUAAGCACUCCGCUGGGAGUACGACCGCAAGGUUGAAACUCAAAGGAAUUGACGGGGGCCCGCACAAGCGGUGGAGCAUGUGGUNUAAUUCGAAGCAACGCGAAGAACCUUACCAGGUCUUGACAUCCUUUGACCACUCUAGAGAUAGAGCUUCCCCUUCGGGGGCAAAGUGACAGGUGGUGCAUGGUUGUCGUCAGCUCGUGUCGUGAGAUGUUGGGUUAAGUCCCGCAACGAGCGCAACCCUUAUUGUUAGUUGCCAUCAUUCAGUUGGGCACUCUAGCAAGACUGCCGGUGACAAACCGGAGGAAGGUGGGGAUGACGUCAAAUCAUCAUGCCCCUUAUGACCUGGGCUACACACGUGCUACAAUGGGAAGUACAACGAGUCGCGAAGUCGCGAGGCUAAGCUAAUCUCUUAAAGCUUCUCUCAGUUCGGAUUGCAGGCUGCAACUCGCCUGCAUGAAGCCGGAAUCGCUAGUAAUCGCGGAUCAGCACGCCGCGGUGAAUACGUUCCCGGGCCUUGUACACACCGCCCGUCACACCACGAGAGUUUGUAACACCCGAAGUCGGUGAGGUAACCUUUUGGAGCCAGCCGCCUAAGGUGGGAUAGAUGAUUGGGGUGAAGUCGUAACAAGGU
Molecule: ribosomal RNA, 1502 nt
Filed under: uncultured bacterium
Lineage: Bacteria
Description: 16S ribosomal RNA
Rfam family: Bacterial small subunit ribosomal RNA
Source: RNAcentral